Small nuclear RNA from Gallus gallus (chicken), 107 nucleotides. The record is from Ensembl. Lineage: Eukaryota; Metazoa; Chordata; Aves; Galliformes; Phasianidae.
GUUCUCACUUCAGCAAUACAUACACUAAAAUUGGAAUGAUAUGGAGAAAAUUAGCACAGCCCCUACACAAGGAUGACACACAAAUUCAUGAAGUGUUCCAUAUUUUU